This 497-nucleotide ribosomal RNA is filed under the name uncultured bacterium. Its description in RNAcentral is "partial 16S ribosomal RNA". It matches the Rfam family "Bacterial small subunit ribosomal RNA", at positions 28 to 507 of the family's 1533-position model. The record is from RNAcentral.
GAUGAACGCUGGCGGCGUGCCUAAUACAUGCAAGUCGAGCGAACAGACGAGGGGCUUGCUCCUCUGACGUUAGCGGCGGACGGGUGAGUAACACGUGGAUAACCUACCUAUAAGACUGGGAUAACUUCGGGAAACCGGAGCUAAUACCGGAUAAUAUAUUGAACCGCAUGGUUCAAUAGUGAAAGACGGUUUUGCUGUCACUUAUAGAUGGAUCCGCGCCGCAUUAGCUAGCUGGUAAGGUAACGGCUUACCAAGGCAACGAUGCGUAGCCGACCUGAGAGGGUGAUCGGCCGCACUGGAACUGAGACACGGUCCAGACUCCUACGGGAGGCAGCAGUAGGGAAUCUUCCGCAAUGGGCGAAAGCCUGACGGAGCAACGCCGCGUGAGUGAUGAAGGUCUUCGGAUCGUAAAACUCUGUUAUUAGGGAAGAACAAAUGUGUAAGUAACUAUGCACGUCUUGACGGUACCUAAUCAGAAAGCCACGGCUAACUACGUG